AGAAGCGACUGUUACUAAAAAAACACAGGGUCCGUGCGAAUUCGUAAGACGAUGUAUACGACUGACGCCUGCCCGGUGCUGCGAAGUUAAGAGGACCGGUAGCCAGUAAUGGCGAAGCUGAGAAUUUAAGCCCCAGUAAACGGCGGUGGUAACUAUAACCAUCCUAGGUAGCGAAAUUCCUUGUCGGGUAAGUUCCGACCUGCACGAAUGGCGUAACGACUUCUCUGCUGUCUCAACCACAGACUCGGCGAAAUUGCAUUACGAGUAAGAUGCUCGUUACGCGCGGCAGGACGAAAAGACCCGGGACCUUCACUAUAGCUUGGUAUUGUGUUCGGUUCGGUUUGUGUAGGAUAGGUGGGAGACUGUGAAGCGGGCACGCCAGUGUUCGUGGAGUCGUUGUUGAAAUACCACUCUGAUCGUAUUGGACAUCUACCUCGACCAUGAUCUGGUUCAGGGACAGUGCCUGGUGGGUAGUUAACUGGGGCGGUUGCCUCCCAAAAUGUAACGGAGGCGCCCAAAGGUUCCCUCAGCCUGGUUGGCAAUCAGGUGUCGAGUGCAAGUGCACAAGGGAGCUUGACUGUGAGACUGACAGGUCGAGCAGGGACGAAAGUCGGGACUAGUGAUCCGGCACCGGCAAGUGGAAGCGGUGUCGCUCAACGGAUAAAAGGUACCCCGGGGAAACAGGCGAUCUUCCCCAAGAGUCCAUAUCGACGGGAUGGUGUUGGCACCUCGAUGUCGGCUCGUCGCAUCCUGGGGCUGGAGAGGUCCCAAGGGUUGGGCUGUUCGCCAUUAAAGCGGCACGCGAGCUGGGUUUAGAACGUCGUGAGACAGUUCGGUCUCUAUCCGCCGCGCGCGUUAGAAACUUGAGGAAGGCUGUCCCUAGUACGAGAGGAACCGGGACGGACGAACCUCUGGUGUGCCAGUUGUUCCGCCAGGAGCACUGCUGGUUAGCUACGUUCGGAAGGGAUAACCGCUGAAAGCAUCUAAGCGGGAAGCCUGUUCCAAGAUGAGGUUUCUCACCCCCUCGAGGGGUAAGGCCCCGGCAGACCACCGGGUUGAUAGGCCAGAACUGGAAGCACAGUAAUGUGUGGAGGUGACUGGUACUAAUAGGCCGAGGACUUACCACAA
RNAcentral lists this ribosomal RNA (1128 nucleotides) under Rhodococcus (subgen. Prescottella) equi. Its description in RNAcentral is "Rhodococcus hoagii partial 23S ribosomal RNA". It matches the Rfam family "Bacterial large subunit ribosomal RNA", at positions 1792 to 2925 of the family's 2925-position model. The record is from RNAcentral. Lineage: Bacteria; Bacillati; Actinomycetota; Actinomycetes; Mycobacteriales; Nocardiaceae.